UGGGGAAUAUUGGACAAUGGACCAAAAGUCUGAUCCAGCAAUUCUGUGUGCACGAUGACGUUUUUCGGAAUGUAAAGUGCUUUCAGUUGGGAAGAAAAAAAUGACGGUACCAACAGAAGAAGUGACGGCUAAAUACGUGCCAGCAGCCGCGGUAAUACGUAUGUCACAAGCGUUAUCCGGAUUUAUUGGGCGUAAAGCGCGUCUAGGUGGUUAUGUAAGUCUGAUGUGAAAAUGCAGGGCUCAACUCUGUAUUGCGUUGGAAACUGUAUGACUAGAGUACUGGAGAGGUAAGCGGAACUACAAGUGUAGAGGUGAAAUUCGUAGAUAUUUGUAGGAAUGCCGAUGGGGAAGCCAGCUUACUGGACAGAUACUGACGCUAAAGCGCGAAAGCGUGGGUAGCAAACAGGAUUAGAUACCCUGGUAGUCCACGCCGUAAACGAUGAUUACUAGGUGUUGGGGGUCGAACCUCAGCGCCCAAGCUAACGCGAUAAGUGAUCCGCCUGGGGAGUACGUACGCAAGUAUG
This 524-nucleotide ribosomal RNA is filed under the name uncultured bacterium. RNAcentral describes it as "bacterial SSU rRNA". It matches the Rfam family "Bacterial small subunit ribosomal RNA", at positions 355 to 896 of the family's 1533-position model. The record is from RNAcentral.